AAGUCGUAACAAGGUUUCCGUAGGUGAACCUGCGGAAGGAUCAUUAAUGAAAUUCAAGGGCGCUCUUUUUAGAGGUCCGACUAAUCUCAUUUCACACUGUGCACAUAUACUUUAUACACCUUUUUAACGCGAAGUCUAUAAGAAUGUACAAGUCUCUUCGGAGCAUAAAACAAGUAAAA
This 179-nucleotide unclassified non-coding RNA is filed under the name plant metagenome. RNAcentral describes it as "partial contains small subunit ribosomal RNA and internal transcribed spacer 1". The stretch from base 1 to 46 matches the Rfam family "Eukaryotic small subunit ribosomal RNA", at positions 1786 to 1831 of the family's 1831-position model. The record is from RNAcentral.